GCGCCCGCCCGCCCACCGCGCCAUGGCCCCGCGCGCCCGGCGGCGCCGCCCGCUGCCCGCGCUGCUCACGAUCUGCGCGCUGCUCGGCCGUCUGCAGGUGACUUUUCAGAUCACCCCUCCGUGUACCCAUGAGAGGCAUUAUGAGCGUUUUGGACGAUGCUGUCAUAAAUGUGAACCAGGAAAGUACAUGUCUUCUAAAUGCACUACUACCUCAGAGAGUGUAUGCCUGCCAUGUGGCCCGGACGAGUACUUAGACACCUGGAAUGAAGAAGAUAAAUGCUUACUGCAUAAAGUCUGCGACUCAGGCAAGGCCCUGGUGGCCGUGGAGCCCGGCAACCGGACGGCCCCGCGGCGCUGCGCCUGCACGGCCGGCUACCACUGGAGCGCGGACUGUGACUGCUGUCGCCGCAACGCCGAGUGCGCCCCGGGCUUUGGCGCGCAGCACCCGGUGCAGCUCAACAAGGACACAGUGUGCGAGCCCUGCCUUGUGGGCUCCUUCUCAGAUGCCUUCUCUUCCACAGAAAAAUGCAAACCUUGGACCAACUGUAGCGUUCUCGGAGAGACGGAAGUACGUCAUGGGACCGAUAAAUCAGAUGUGGUUUGCAGUUCUUCUCUGCCGUCUACAAAGCCACCAAAUGAAUCCAAGAUAUACUUGCCCGGUUUAAUUAUUCUGCUUCUCUUCAUAUCUGUGGCAUUAGUUGCUGCUGUCAUCUUUGGUGUUUACUAUAGGAAAAAAGGGAAAGCAGUAACAGCUAAUUUGUGGCACUGGGUCAAUGAGGCUUGCGGCCGCCUAAGUGGAAAUAAGGAGUCCUCAGGCAACAAUUUUAGCAGCACUCAUAUGGAAGCCUCUAGUCAGCGUGAAAUUUGUGAAGGUGUCUUACUGCUGACUCUGGAAGAGAAGAUGUUUCCCGAAGAUAUGUGCUGUCCAGACGGCGUUGGCCUCUGCGGCGGUGUGUGCACAGGGGGUGGUCCCUGUGCACAGGGAGAAGAUGCUGGAGUGCUCACCUUGGUCAGCGAGAUUGAGGGGGACCCCUUCAGGCAGAUGCCCACGGAAGACGAAUAUGUAGACAGGCCCUCCCAGACCCCAGACUCUUCACUGUCCCUCCCUCGGCCUGGCAGCAAAUCCACACCCCCUUUCCCUGAGCCCCUGGAGGUGGGGGAGAAUGACAGUUUAAGCCAGUGCUUCACUGGGACAGAGGGCUUGGUGGAUUCUGAAAGCUGCAAUUUCACGGAGCCCCCGUGCAGGACCGACUGGAUUCCCCUAGCCCCCGAAAAGUACUUGCAAAAAGAAGUGGAGGGUGGCAAUUGCCCCCACUGGGCCGCCAGCCCCAGCUCUGCAGAGGGCUGCGCAGGCUGCAGAAACCCUCCCGGGGAGGACCGGGAACCCCUCACGCCUACCGCGAAAAGUGGACCUUUGCCCCAGUGCGCCUAUGGCAUGGGCCCCCCGCCUGAAGAAGCAGCCGAGGGGACAGGCCAGCCCACGGACGGGGCCGACGUAAGGCUUCCCGGCUCGAUGAGGGGAGGCCCGGGGUCUGGAAGCCCCUCCAGUGACCAGCCACCUGCAUCUGGAAAUGUGACUGGAAACAGUAACUCCACGUUUAUUUCCAGCGGGCAGGUGAUGAACUUCAAGGGCGACAUCAUCGUGGUCUACGUCAGCCAGAACUCCCAGGAGGGCCCGGCGGGGCCCGGCGGCGGCGGCGGCGGCGGCGGCGGCGCGGGGGAGCCGGUGGGCCGCCCGGUGCAGGAGGAGAGCCCGCCGCGCUGCGACUCGUUCGCGGGCCUCGGGCCGCGCUUCCCCGACCCAUGCGCUGACCUGGAGGCGCGCCCGGGCGGGGGGCUGCAGGAGUGCGCCUCCCCGGGGCCCGACAAGGCCUCGCGGCCGGUGCAGGAGCAGGGGGAGGCCGACAAGGGCGCGGCAAGGGCGCGGCGCUGAGCGGCGGGUGACUCGCGGCGGACCUCGGGGCCAUCCAGCCCGGGCUCGGCGGGCACCACAGGGGCCGCGCGUUCCUACUUGGAGGCGGGGAGCCGCACGCACCUGCGCCUGGGCGGGACCGGGGCCAGGGGCGGCCCGGGAGGAGGCUCGCGCGCCUGUGCCCGGGCGGGGCCUGGGGACGGAGCGCACCUGCUCCCGGGCGGGGCCUGGGGGCCGCGCGCACCUGCUCCUGGGCGGGGUCUGGGGAACCGCGCGCACCUGCUCCUGGGCGGGGCCUGGGGACUGCGCGCACCUGCUCCUGGGCGGGUCAGGGCGGCAGCCCGGAUCUGCGCCCAGACGCCCCUCUCUUCGGUACAUCGUCAAAUUACCUGACAUUCUCCACCUAUCUUGCUCUUUAUACAAUCGGGCACUUUUUAAAAACCUGCAUUUGUGGUCACCAUUCACUGUUACCCACAGUCACGUAUCAACUGAUGACACGGGUAGGCGUCGCUCCACUUUUUACCUCCUUUUAGGGUUUUCCUCCAUCCCCUCCCAUUCCCCAUUAUCAUUUCAUCAGUAGUUUGUCUCUUUAUGGCAUCUGUUUCAGUGAUUGUUCUGUUCUUUUUGGGUCUCCCCCCCCCCCGCCAUAUUUGUAUUUCACUUCCAUAACAUUUUUCUUGAUACAACCCCCCCCUUUUGUUUUUACUCUGUAACGAUUUUCUUGAAAAUUAUCCUUAGGGUGCUGGUCUUCUUUACAUAUAUUUGCACCCCUUCUUGCAAGUAGGCUCCCUGUGUUUUGGUGACGGCUUUUUUGGGGGGGUAGGGAGGUCUGUACUAAGCACUUUUGGGAAAAGGCUAGGGCUGUGAAGCUUGGAGGGAGGCUCAGGGAGCAAAUGGAGUGACUUUUUGUUUUUGAAAUUUUUUCUGUGUUCUCGUUUUUUUAGAGGAAGGAAAAAGGGAAACCCUACUUCCCCCUGAAUGUUUUUAAGACUCUGUCAAUCCUCAGGCAGAACUAAGUGAUAGUGUGUCCUUCUUUCCCCACUCCCAAAAUGGUUCACCCCUGAGGUGAAUGUAUUUAUUCAUUCCAGUAGAGGCGGUCAGGUCCUAGCUGAAUCUCUAAAGAUCCAAGUUGCUGCAGCUUGGUGUUCUUACUUUAAACAGAAUCCUCAUAUUAUGCAUUUAAGAAAACUUACCACAGAGACACUUUUCUCUUAGACCAGCCCUCUCGUGAGGAAACGCACAGCAGGAGUCAGAUUGAAAGGAAUUACCUGGGUUGGUCCAUCCGUUGUGGCGAGUAUUUAGCCUCCUCAGAUGCCAGGGGCCACAGGUGCCCAGCUGAAGGAGUGGCCAUCAUUGAUUUCUCCCUACUGGUUGCAGAUCUCUUGGAAAUGCUGGAAAGCUAGCAGCCAGUUAUGAAUUUUAAUGGAGAAGCAGAGGGUGGCUCUAUAAUUUAUGGGAUUCCUUUGCUGGCAAAAAACAAAAACAAAAACAAACAAAAACCCUGCAGGAAGUAAUUGCAUUGCCAGGAUGAUUAGUUUAUGGGAAUUUAUUAUCUGUUCUGCCCAUUUUGUUAACAUCCAUCCAAAAAGAGAUGUUAUGGGGCACCUGGGUGGUUCAGUCGGUUAAGCAUCUGACUUCAGCUCAGGUCAUGAUCUCAUAGUUUGUGGGUUCAAGCCCCACGUCGGGCUCUGUGCUGACAGCUCAGAACCUGGAGCCUGCUUAGGAUUCUGUGUCUCCUUCUCUCUCUGCCCCUCCCCUGCUCAUGCUCUGUCUCUCUCUCUCUCUCAAAAGUCAAUAUUAAAAAUUAAAAAAGAUAUUACAAAAGUGGAAGAAACCAUUAUACCUUUUGAUAUAGAAUGUAUUAAACAGACAAAAUAUGGUUCACAGAGUAGAAUGCUGAGCUAAAGACCCAAGUUUCUGCUAUGACUGUUAUCAUCUCACUGAUGCUACUUUUAGCAUUCUGCGCUUUCAUUUUUCUUUCUGUAAAAAAGCACUAGUGAUCAUUUUUGACACUUUCCUCACCCAGAGAUAACAAAAGGAUGCUACAGUGAAUGUUAAAGUAUCUUGAGCUCCUUAAAUAAAAGGUGCUAAAUAAAUACAUAAGAAUCUACUUGCAGAAAAAGGUAGUAUUCUUUCCUACCCUGAUCCCUACAUUCUAUAUUGAUCCAAACACAAUUAAAUGGUAGAAAUGUAUAGCAAAACAGGUCCGUAUCUGUGUAUUACAGAGAUGUUUGUGACAAAUGUAAACGGAAUAUAAUGAAGACAAUAAUGAAAAAUUGGGGAAUGUGACAAAGAGAUUAUUAAACUUAUAUUUGACCAUAAAAAAAAAUUUUUUUCAUGGCUUGUUUAAACAGGGCUCUUUGUAAGGUAAUGGUGUGACUUACUCCUGAUCUCUAAGUUGUGCUGUGGUGUUGGUUAUAUUGUGUCUUAUUGGUCGAACCCUCAACAACAGAGUUGGGACAGAAAUUGCUUGGCUUUGAUGGUAUAUCUGCUGUUGAUCUCAUAAUAAGAAAAUUCUUUAAAAUACAGGCUGGCUGUGCAGUGAAAGAGUUGAAAUGGAUUCUAGGGUCUCCUACCCACAUUUAACCCAGCUACCAGAAGAAGGAAGAAUUCACUUCUCUCUCUACCUUGUGCUUUUUAUGCCUGGGCCCUGAGCACCCCUGAGAAAGGGGCUGAAGCCAGCUGGAGAGUCCUGAGGCAUCUGGGGACAUCCUAGGGAGUUAGCGAAGACUUUGGACAUUGCUGUGCUCACCAGAGGAGCUUCUAG
Prionailurus viverrinus (fishing cat) is the source of this 4679-nucleotide RNA transcript. It is a transcript of the gene named TNF receptor superfamily member 11a, with no coding region annotated. NCBI's taxonomy places the organism in Eukaryota, Metazoa, Chordata, Mammalia, Carnivora, Felidae. The record is from RefSeq and is a predicted model, not a curated record. The transcript is spliced from 11 exons.